UAAGGAAUAUUGCACAAUGGGGGAAACCCUGAUGCAGCAACGCCGCGUGAGUGACGAAGGCCUUCGGGUUGUAAAACUCUUUUCUGAGGGAUGAGGAAGGACAGUACCUUAGGAAUAAGUCUCGGCUAACUACGUGCCAGCAGCCGCGGUAAAACGUAGGAGGCGAGCGUUAUCCGGAUUUACUGGGCGUAAAGGGGAAGUAGGCGGUGGUUCAAGUUGGGCGUGACAGAUCCUGGCUUAACUGGGAGAGGUCGUUCAAAACUGGAUCACGAGAGGGCAAGAGAGGGGAGCGGAAUUCCUGGUGUAGCGGUGGAAUGCUCAGAUAUUAGGGAGAACACCAGUGGCGAAAGCGGCUUUCUGGCCUGCACCUGACGCUGAAGGGCGAAAGCUGGGGGAGCGAACGG
This 404-nucleotide ribosomal RNA is filed under the name uncultured bacterium. Its description in RNAcentral is "bacterial SSU rRNA". It matches the Rfam family "Bacterial small subunit ribosomal RNA", at positions 355 to 775 of the family's 1533-position model. The record is from RNAcentral.